Non-coding RNA from Tinamus guttatus (white-throated tinamou), 100 nucleotides. Lineage: Eukaryota; Metazoa; Chordata; Aves; Tinamiformes; Tinamidae. The record is from RefSeq and is a predicted model, not a curated record.
GGAAGCUGUGCCACGAUAACUCAGGCCUUUGCCUCGAUAGCACUCCUCUGAGACAGGACUGUGUUCGAGCACAUCAGUGACAUUAAUCUCUUGUUCUAUC